Molecule: long non-coding RNA, 342 nt
Organism: Homo sapiens (human)
Lineage: Eukaryota; Metazoa; Chordata; Mammalia; Primates; Hominidae
Exons: 3
Source: RefSeq, a predicted model, not a curated record
GCAAUGCUGGAGUUAAAUUCUAAGAAUGUAGAACACUCACUCAAGAUCUUCCUUUAUUCCUGCCCACUUUGUCACAGGCAGAACAACGUAGGAGUGGAGAUGUGAUCUCCAGAGCCACACUGUCUCGUUCGAAUCCUGGCCCCAUUGCAAACUAUCUGGAAUGCCUGAGUUUUGUCAAGCCCAUGGCCACCCAGCCAGUGACUACAUUUCCCGGUUUCCUGUAUAGCUAGGCAUAGCCAUGUGACGAAAUUCUGGCCAAUGGAAUGCCACUGUGAAGAGAAUGAAACUGAAAUAUGUAGAACAUUCUCGGCCUCUCUGAGGAUGGGUGGAAUCAGAACAGAG